This 252-nucleotide ribosomal RNA is filed under the name uncultured bacterium. Its description in RNAcentral is "partial 16S ribosomal RNA". It matches the Rfam family "Bacterial small subunit ribosomal RNA", at positions 524 to 776 of the family's 1533-position model. The record is from RNAcentral.
UACGUAGGUCCCGAGCGUUGUCCGGAUUUAUUGGGCGUAAAGCGAGCGCAGGUGGUUUAUUAAGUCUGGUGUAAAAGGCAGUGGCUCAACCAUUGUAUGCAUUGGAAACUGGUAGACUUGAGUGCAGGAGAGGAGAGUGGAAUUCCAUGUGUAGCGGUGAAAUGCGUAGAUAUGUGGAGGAGCACCGGUGGCGAAAGCGGCUCUCUGGCCUGUAACUGACACUGAGGCUCGAAAGCGUGGGGAGCAAACAGG